Molecule: ribosomal RNA, 253 nt
Filed under: uncultured bacterium
Lineage: Bacteria
Description: partial 16S ribosomal RNA
Rfam family: Bacterial small subunit ribosomal RNA
Source: RNAcentral
UACGUAGGUGGCAAGCGUUGUCCGGAUUUACUGGGUGUAAAGGGCGUGUAGCCGGGCUGACAAGUCAGAUGUGAAAUCCGGGGGCUCAACCCCCGAACUGCAUUUGAAACUGUUGGUCUUGAGUAUCGGAGAGGCAGGCGGAAUUCCUAGUGUAGCGGUGAAAUGCGUAGAUAUUAGGAGGAGCACCAGUGGCGAAGGCGGCCUGCUGGACGACAACUGACGGUGAGGCGCGAAAGCGUGGGGAGCAAACAGG